RNAcentral lists this ribosomal RNA (474 nucleotides) under Comamonadaceae bacterium. Its description in RNAcentral is "bacterial SSU rRNA". It matches the Rfam family "Bacterial small subunit ribosomal RNA", at positions 391 to 858 of the family's 1533-position model. The record is from RNAcentral. Lineage: Bacteria; Pseudomonadati; Pseudomonadota; Betaproteobacteria; Burkholderiales; Comamonadaceae.
GCAAUGCCGCGUGCAGGAUGAAGGCCUUCGGGUUGUAAACUGCUUUUGUACGGAGCGAAACGGCUCUUCCUAAUACGGAGGGCUAAUGACGGUACCGUAAGAAUAAGCACCGGCUAACUACGUGCCAGCAGCCGCGGUAAUACGUAGGGUGCAAGCGUUAAUCGGAAUUACUGGGCGUAAAGCGUGCGCAGGCGGUGAUGUAAGACAGAUGUGAAAUCCCCGGGCUCAACCUGGGACCUGCAUUUGUGACUGCAUCGCUAGAGUACGGCAGAGGGGGAUGGAAUUCCGCGUGUAGCAGUGAAAUGCGUAGAUAUGCGGAGGAACACCGAUGGCGAAGGCAAUCCCCUGGGCCUGUACUGACGCUCAUGCACGAAAGCGUGGGGAGCAAACAGGAUUAGAUACCCUGGUAGUCCACGCCCUAAACGAUGUCAACUGGUUGUUGGGUCUUCACUGACUCAGUAACGAAGCUAACGC